Rhodamnia argentea is the source of this 325-nucleotide long non-coding RNA. RefSeq lists it as uncharacterized. The transcript is spliced from 3 exons. The record is from RefSeq and is a predicted model, not a curated record. Lineage: Eukaryota; Viridiplantae; Streptophyta; Magnoliopsida; Myrtales; Myrtaceae.
GGGAAGUUACAUAAACGAACAAGCAUAGAACCGAUUCAUAGCCGAAAUCACACAAACUCUUCAUCCGAAUCAUCUUGCUCUUCGUCCCAUAUAUCCUCGACAUCUCUCACGUUACCACGAAGCAUAUUGAGUAUGGGGCAUAUGUGCUCCCAGUUUCUCACGCGUCUCCGGAGUUCCAAGCUGGAAAUUCGACGAGGACUGCUUACGGGUAAGCUUUCUUUUGUGUAACUAAGAGCCUUCAAAACAAACUUUCCAGAUGGUUCGAUUAAAUCGACACCAAAUGUAGGUGAUAAAGGCCGCCCCAUAACUCGAACAUGAGAGACAC